UGUCUCUGCUGAUUAUCUGCACUGGGCUCAGAUCCUCCAUGGUGAUGAACGUGCAACUCUGCUCUUUGACAUGGUGGAGUCUGAAGAGACG
Small nucleolar RNA from Silurus meridionalis, 91 nucleotides. The record is from RefSeq and is a predicted model, not a curated record. Lineage: Eukaryota; Metazoa; Chordata; Actinopteri; Siluriformes; Siluridae.